This 253-nucleotide ribosomal RNA is filed under the name uncultured bacterium. RNAcentral's name for it is "partial 16S ribosomal RNA". It matches the Rfam family "Bacterial small subunit ribosomal RNA", at positions 524 to 776 of the family's 1533-position model. The record is from RNAcentral.
UACGUAGGGACCAAGCGUUGUUCGGAUUUACUGGGCGUAAAGGGCGCGUAGGCGGCGUGUUAAGUCACUUGUGAAAUCUCGGGGCUUAACUCCGAAACUGCAUUCGAUACUGCGGUGCUUGAGGACUGGAGAGGAGACUGGAAUUCAUGGUGUAGCAGUGAAAUGCGUAGAGAUCAUGAGGAAGACCAGUGGCGAAGGCGGGUCUCUGGACAGUUCCUGACACUGAGACACGAAGGCCAGGGGAGCAAACGGG